UGCUCGGGGACAGCAGCCUUUCUCUGAGGAGGGGACAGUACCGGGGGCUGCUCCCCUCGCUGUGCCGGCGGAGCAGGCACUGGUCCCUGGGACGGCCAGGAUCGUGUGCAUGGGCUGGGGGGAACUCUUCUUGUGAGGGGAGGGGCCGGGGGCUUUGAGUGGGAGAGGGGCGGCUGGGGGCGAUCGUGCCGGGCAGCAAAUCCCCUCUGAACCCACCUGCUGCCUAUGCAGAGAAAUCUUGUUCUUGCUUCCCAAGGGACCGGGAUUAGAGCAGGGUCAUCGCAGCUCUCGCUCCCGCCGGGCCCACCAUGCUCUUUCUUCCAGUUGCCGCUGCAUUCUUUGCAGGACUCGCCAUUGGCGUUGCAAUUGCAGCACUGGCAAUGGGACGGCCCAUACGGAUCUUUAUGACUUCCACGAGUCUGCAUAUGCGUGUUGGAGGAGAACACGAGGAUGAUCCUCUGAGCUCAUGCAAAGAGAUCCAGAAGAAGUACUGUUGAUUACCACAGCCAGUGAACAGAAGCAGAUUUCGGGCUUCCUCUCUUUCUCUCUCCCCACACUCCUUUUCCAUUUUCCUUCCUCCUUCUCUGUCUUUUCUACACUUUUUAGUAGCGUAAUUUCUUCUUUUUUUAAAAUUUCUUUUGCAUUUUCAAUAAACAGUUUUCAGAUACAA
Molecule: long non-coding RNA, 670 nt
Organism: Melozone crissalis (California towhee)
Lineage: Eukaryota; Metazoa; Chordata; Aves; Passeriformes; Passerellidae
Exons: 4
Source: RefSeq, a predicted model, not a curated record